This 1364-nucleotide unclassified non-coding RNA is filed under the name uncultured Neocallimastigales. RNAcentral's name for it is "partial contains small subunit ribosomal RNA, internal transcribed spacer 1, 5.8S ribosomal RNA, internal transcribed spacer 2, and large subunit ribosomal RNA". The stretch from base 606 to 1364 matches the Rfam family "Eukaryotic large subunit ribosomal RNA", at positions 1 to 611 of the family's 3401-position model. Lineage: Eukaryota; Fungi; Neocallimastigomycota; Neocallimastigomycetes; Neocallimastigales. The record is from RNAcentral.
UUUCCGUAGGUGAACCUGCGGAAGGAUCAUUAAAAAAUGUGGUACCGAUUAUUGGUACUAAUUAAUCAUCCUACCCUUUGUGAAUUUGUUUGUAUGAAUUUUUUUAAAUGGGUCUUUCCCUAAGUUGGAUUGUUAGUAAAAUACAAAAAGACUUAGGGGAAUGACUUUUUUAAAAGACUUUUUUUUAAUUAAAACUUUUUGUAUUCAUUUGUCUAAAAUUUAUUUUUAUAAUAUAAAAACAACUUUUGACAAUGGAUCUCUUGGUUCUCGCAACGAUGAAGAACGCAGCAAAAUGCGAUAAGUAGUGUGAAUUGCAGAAUACGUGAAUCAUCGAAUCUUCGAACGCAUAUUGCACUUUUUUAGUUUACUAAAAAAGUAUGUCUGUUUGAGUAUCAGUAAAAUAUUCUCACAAACAUAUAUUGUUUGUGGUUAUGAGUGUUUUACAACGAUAAACAAGUUGUUUCACUUUAAAUUCUUUUUGUAAGUUUUACCACCAAUUUACAAAUUUAAAAUUGGAUAAAAUUUUCCUUUAACGAGGAAUAACCUAAACAAUUUUAAAUUUUUUGGUUCGUAAAUCCCAUGAAGGAAUCUAUACAUAAAUAACUUGAUCUCAAAUCAGAUAAGAGUACCCGCUGAACUUAAGCAUAUCAAUAAGCGGAGGAAAAGAAACUAACAAGGAUUCCCUUAGUAACGGCGAGUGAAGCGGGAAGAGCUCAAAUUUGAAAUCUUCAAGGUUUGACCUUGACGAAUUGUAGUUUAUAGAAGUGUUUUCUGUUGGAGUUUUGGUAAAAGUUCUUUGGAAUAGGACAUCAUAGAGGGUGAGAAUCCCGUAUUUGACCAUGACUUUCCAGCUGUGUGAUACACUUUCAAAGAGUCGGAUUGUUUGGGAAUGCAGUCCAAAAUGGGUGGUAAAUUUCAUCUAAAGCUAAAUAUUGGCGAGAGACCGAUAGCGAACAAGUACCGUGAGGGAAAGAUGAAAAGAACUUUGAAAAGAGAGUUAAACAGUACGUGAAAUUGUCAAAAGGGAAGCGUUUGACACCAGUGUUGUUUUCUCGAAAAUCAAUUUAAUGAGUUCUUGUUUUUAAGUUAUUGUGACUUUAUCAGCGCAUUUCUUAUUUUACUUGACUCAUUGAAUGCACUUUUCGUUUAACAAGUCAACAUCAAUUUCUUUGGUGGUAAAAAGUUUAAAGGAAGGUGGCUUGGACUUCGGUUCAAGUGUUUAUAGCCUUUUUUCUAUGCCAUCGGAGAGAUUGAGGUCUGCAGCGUAGAUCCUUCGGGGUUAGAUACUUUGUGCUAAGUUAUAGUUUUUUAUAGACAACUUGUUGACUAUAAUUAACCCUGUAAUUUACUCGCUUAGGCUAUUU